AGCGAACGCUGGCGGCAGGCCUAACACAUGCAAGUCGAACGAACUCUUCGGAGUUAGUGGCGGACGGGUGAGUAACACGUGGGAACGUGCCUUUAGGUUCGGAAUAACUCAGGGAAACUUGUGCUAAUACCGAAUGUGCCCUUCGGGGGAAAGAUUUAUCGCCUUUAGAGCGGCCCGCGUCUGAUUAGCUAGUUGGUGAGGUAAAGGCUCACCAAGGCGACGAUCAGUAGCUGGUCUGAGAGGAUGAUCAGCCACAUUGGGACUGAGACACGGCCCAAACUCCUACGGGAGGCAGCGGUGGGGAAUCUUGCGCAAUGGGCGAAAGCCUGACGCAGCCAUGCCGCGUGAAUGAUGAAGGUCUUAGGAUUGUAAAAUUCUUUCACCGGGGACGAUAAUGACGGUACCCGGAGAAGAAGCCCCGGCUAACUUCGUG
RNAcentral lists this ribosomal RNA (433 nucleotides) under uncultured bacterium. Its description in RNAcentral is "partial 16S ribosomal RNA". It matches the Rfam family "Bacterial small subunit ribosomal RNA", at positions 29 to 507 of the family's 1533-position model. The record is from RNAcentral.